UGGACGGUCUAUUUCUUGUUAAUCCAACGGAGUAAUACAAAAUUGAUGAAAAUAUGACCGUUAUGCAGAGCCUAUUUAUGACCCUGGAUCUUCAAAGAGAGGCACUGACCGCCGUCUUAUGUUUUUUCUAUCAGCCUUCUGAGCGAUGAUUCUUGGGGUUUUCUGUCAAGAAGAAAUAGAGAGAGUAUUCUUGGGGUUCAGGUUUCAAUGGAUUCUGUUUUUGCCAAUGAAUCAUGCUAUUUGUACAAAUUAGGUUGACAAACUUGGUUUACAAACUAUGUGUUGUCAACAUCUAUGCCAAUUAUUUCAAAAACAGUUUUUCAAAUCAAUGAUGACUUGGAUUUUUGUCAGCACAUAGUUUGUAAAUUAGUUUUGUAAAUAAACUUUGUACAAGUAGAUUAAUUCUUUUGCCAAUUGGCUGAGGAUUUUCACCGAAAUUCAAAGUUUUCAGCAAUUGUGUAACUUGUUCUAUCCUGUUUCUAUAAUUUCUUCACCUUUACAAUAAUUUUUUUUGUUGGUUCAUUAGGAUGAGUCUUGUAAGAUAUUUUCUGCGUCGAAUUGGUGAUCAAUUUUGGGUCUCACUGGAUUUUAUUAAUGUAAAUUCUCUGAAUUUUUGCUGGAUCAUUAAUUGUUGUAUUAGGUGUUUCCUCUUCAUUGAAUAUAUGAUUAUUUUAGCAAUUGCGUACCUAUAGUGAUAAUGUUCUCUAUUGUUUGUGUAAUUCCUUUGUCUUUAUAGUAACUUUCUUUGUUGGUGCAUUUGGAUGGAUCUUGAAGGAUUUAUCCUUUUGGGUUGAUAAUCAAUUGAAUUUUUUUCUGUGAAAUAUACGAGGGCUGAAUCAAUAGAAUAUGGUUUUGUUUUGUUGUUGGGUUUCCUUCACAAAUUAUAUAUGCUUACUUCAGUAAUUAUUGUGAGGGAUAAUGUUCUCUUUGUUUUUUAAUUUUUAUAUCUUUAUGAAUAUGUACUUUGUGUUGGUGUAUUGGGAUGAAUCUUGAAGGAUUUCUCCUGGGUUCAAUUUUCGGUUCACUGGAUAUAAACUUGGGAAUUCUCUGUGGGUCUUGUUGAAUUUUUAACGGAAUUUGAGCUUUUUGUGUUUGGAUUGACUAUAACUGGUAAGUUAUGGAUUUUCUUUUUAUUUUCUGAACUGUUAUUUUAACAAUUAAGUUUCUCAGUGUGAUAAUGUUCUCUUUGUUUAUGUACUUCCUGUGUCUUUAUGAUUACAUUCUUUUUGGUACAUUUGGAUGAAUAUUGGAGGAUCUUUUGUGUCUCUUGUUCUUCAGAUGAUGCUGAGUGUUGGAUUUCACUAGAUUUGAAUCUGUGGAUUCUUUGUGGGUUGAUAUUUCAAUGGGAUUUGUGCUUUUUGUGCAGUUUGUGGUUUCUUUUUUAUUUUAGAAAUUAUAACACUCUUCGUUUCUAUAAUUCCAUUGUGUUUAUGAGUCACUCUGUUUGUUGCAUUUGGAUGAAUUUUGAAGUUUUUAUUACUAUUUAUUUAUUUAUUUUUGGAUUGUGCUCUUUGGAGCGAUGAUCAAUAUUGGAUUGUGCUUCAUUGGAAUUUUUUUAUGUUUUCUGUGAGUUGAAUCCUCAAUAUGUAGCGUUUGUUUUAUGUGUAUGGUUCCUUUUUGUCAAUAGAAAUGACUUGUUUCCACGCUCAAAUGGGAAAGGAAGUCAGUCUAGAGCAAGAGGAUCAACUAGAACCAAACUUCUUUGCUGCUUAUGUUAGCAAGGGGAUCAACUAGAAUCAAACUUCUUUCUGCUUAUUCUAUUUGUGCUCUCGCAUGUGUUUGGUUUCAAAUUAGUUAGGAAGAGAGAGGUAUAUCAGAGAGAUCAUGAGAAUGAAUUCAGAUUUUUUGUCUGAUGAAUUAUGAUCCCUUAAUCUCUCCUUGUGUUUGCCUCAUCAUUCUUCUUAAUUUCUCUUCGUCUGUUCUACAUCUGGUUUGUGAUUUAGGUUGGGCUUUAAAUGAGCGAGCUUCGACCAUUACACAUUUCCAUUUUAUGCAUGGUUCCAGCUGUCAAGUUUUCAGAGUUUUGUUUAUCUCUAUAAUUUCAUGUAUAUGACUUUCUUCGUUAGGAUGAAUCUAGAAGGAUCUUUUUUGCGUUUUGUUCUUUGGUCUCGCUGAUGGUCAGCUUUUAGUGUUGGGACUGAGAAGGAUUUUUUUUAUCAACAUGAAUUGAUCAAUCUUCCAAUGUCGGAUUCACUGAGAAAGGGUUUCAUUGGAUUUGUUUCUAUAAAUCCUGUCAGUUUUUGUUGAUUUUUUUGAUGGAAUCUGUGCUUUCUAUUUAAGUUUAUUGGAAUGAUAUCCUGAUGAAAUUCUCUGCACAUUCCAUUACUGAUGUUUUCAUUUUUCUAGUUGAUAAUAUUUCAGAGUUCAGUUUUUCUGCUAAUGAUAUUCUAGCAGAAGCUAUGCAUGAUUUAUGGACAAUGGUGCGCACAUGUUUAGCAGAUUCAACUCGNGAAGAAUUUUUAAUGUGAAUCUUAUUGAUGGGAAAGUACACUUACUUUUGAAGACUUACGACAUUUCAUGUUUCAACAACUUUUUUUGGAUAUGCUUUUCACCUAUUCAAGAACUCAAC
This 2569-nucleotide long non-coding RNA is filed under the name Olea europaea subsp. europaea. The record is from RNAcentral. Lineage: Eukaryota; Viridiplantae; Streptophyta; Magnoliopsida; Lamiales; Oleaceae.